UACGUAGGGCGCAAGCGUUGUCCGGAAUUAUUGGGCGUAAAGAGCUCGUAGGUGGCUUGUCGCGUCUGCCGUGAAAGCUCAUGGCUUAACUGUGGGUCUGCGGUGGAUACGGGCUGGCUAGAGGUAGGCAGGGGCAAGCGGAAUUCCUGGUGUAGCGGUGAAAUGCGCAGAUAUCGGGAAGAACACCCGUGGCGAAGGCGGCUCUCUGGGACGGUACUGACGCUGAGACGCGAAAGCGUGGGGAGCGAACAGG
This 253-nucleotide ribosomal RNA is filed under the name uncultured bacterium. Its description in RNAcentral is "partial 16S ribosomal RNA". It matches the Rfam family "Bacterial small subunit ribosomal RNA", at positions 524 to 776 of the family's 1533-position model. The record is from RNAcentral.